Molecule: ribosomal RNA, 468 nt
Filed under: uncultured bacterium
Lineage: Bacteria
Description: partial 16S ribosomal RNA
Rfam family: Bacterial small subunit ribosomal RNA
Source: RNAcentral
GACGAACGCUGGCGGCGUGCUUAACACAUGCAAGUCGAACGGAAAGGCCCUGCUUUUGCGGGGUGCUCGAGUGGCGAACGGGUGAGUAACACGUGAGUAACCUGCCCUUGACUUUGGGAUAACUUCAGGAAACUGGGGCUAAUACCGGAUAGGAGCUCCUGCUGCAUGGUGGGGGUUGGAAAGUUUCGGCGGUUGGGGAUGGACUCGCGGCUUAUCAGCUUGUUGGUGGGGUAGUGGCUUACCAAGGCUUUGACGGGUAGCCGGCCUGAGAGGGUGACCGGCCACACUGGGACUGAGAUACGGCCCAGACUCCUACGGGAGGCAGCAGUGGGGAAUAUUGCACGAUGGGCGGAGGCCGGAUGAAGAAACGCCGCGUGCGGGAUAACGGCCUUCGGGGUGUAAACCACUUUCGCCUGUGACGAAGCGUGAGUGACGGUAAUGGGUAAAGAAGCACCGGCUAACUACGUG